GUACUUUUCUUAUAAAGUUUACACAUACACAGACUACAGAUGGGUUUGAGAGUAGCCACCUCUUUUUUAGGGAGGCGGCGUGAGUGUGCACUCAAUUGUCAGCCGAGGCCGACGUGAUUCAAUGAUGAUCCUUCCGCAGGUUCACCUACGGAAA
This 154-nucleotide unclassified non-coding RNA is filed under the name uncultured fungus. RNAcentral's name for it is "sequence contains ITS1". Lineage: Eukaryota; Fungi. The record is from RNAcentral.